This 433-nucleotide ribosomal RNA is filed under the name uncultured bacterium. Its description in RNAcentral is "partial 16S ribosomal RNA". It matches the Rfam family "Bacterial small subunit ribosomal RNA", at positions 29 to 507 of the family's 1533-position model. The record is from RNAcentral.
AACGAACGCUGGCGGCAUGCCUAACACAUGCAAGUCGAACGAGACCUUCGGGUCUAGUUGCGCACGGGUGCGUAACGCGUGGGAACCUGCCCUUAGGUUCGGAAUAACUCCCCGAAAGGGGUGCUAAUACCGGAUAAUGUCUUCGGACCAAAGAUUUAUCGCCUUUGGAUGGGCCCGUGUUGGAUUAGCUAGUUGGUAGGGUAAAAGCCUACCAAGGCGACGAUCCAUAGCUGGUCUGAGAGGAUGAUCAGCCACACUGGGACUGAGACACGGCCCAGACUCCUACGGGAGGAAGCAGUGGGGAAUAUUGGACAAUGGGCGAAAGCCUGAUCCAGCAAUGCCGCGUGAGUGAUGAAGGACUUAGGGUUGUAAAGCUCUUUUACCCGGGAUGAUAAUGACAGUACCGGGAGAAUAAGCUCCGGCUAACUCCGUG